Molecule: ribosomal RNA, 453 nt
Filed under: uncultured bacterium
Lineage: Bacteria
Description: partial 16S ribosomal RNA
Rfam family: Bacterial small subunit ribosomal RNA
Source: RNAcentral
GAUGAACGCUGACAGAAUGCUUAACACAUGCAAGUCAACUUGAACUUCGGUUUGGGUGGCGGACGGGUGAGUAACGCGUAAAGAACUUGCCUCACAGCUAGGGACAACAUUUGGAAACGAAUGCUAAUACCUGAUAUUAUGAUUUUAGGGCAUCCUAGAAUUAUGAAAGCUAUAUGCGCUGUGAGAGAGCUUUGCGUCCCAUUAGCUAGUUGGAGAGGUAACGGCUCACCAAGGCGAUGAUGGGUAGCCGGCCUGAGAGGGUGAACGGCCACAAGGGGAAUAGAAACGGGCCCUCACUCCGACGGGAGGAAGCGUGGGGAAAAUUUGAACAAGGGACCCAAAGUUUUACCCAGCAUUCUUGUGGGAAAAAUAAAUUUUUUCGGAAUUAAAAUUGCUUUAAUUUGGAAAAAAAAAAAGAACGGUACAAAAAAAAGAAGGACCGCCAAAAUACUC